CAUGAAAACUUUCCCUUUCCUAACGCUUUUCGUCGAUGGCGCUUUUCGUCGAUGGCACUUUCCCUCGUACAUGCAAUCGUCAGUACAAAGGUACUUCCUCAAUCCAUAUGGCGUGUUUUUGGAGAAUGACCCGAUGUACAUAUCACUAUUGGGGAGAAGCUUCUCUAUAGCAGUGGACCCUUCCGCUUUAUUAGCGCCAAUAAAACAGACCCAGCAAACCAACACCUACAUAACAAAACAACCUUCCUCACUUUCAUCU
RNAcentral lists this unclassified non-coding RNA (259 nucleotides) under Hevea brasiliensis (rubber tree). Lineage: Eukaryota; Viridiplantae; Streptophyta; Magnoliopsida; Malpighiales; Euphorbiaceae. The record is from RNAcentral.